UUCUCUGAGUUGCAGUAGGUAUUUGUGUUUUUUAACUGCCUGGGGUCGGCAAAGACGCCGGCGGGAGCACUUGCAUAUUUUCCAGAUGACAGAGAAAA
Molecule: long non-coding RNA, 98 nt
Organism: Sinocyclocheilus anshuiensis
Lineage: Eukaryota; Metazoa; Chordata; Actinopteri; Cypriniformes; Cyprinidae
Exons: 4
Source: RefSeq, a predicted model, not a curated record